This is a long non-coding RNA of Oncorhynchus keta (chum salmon), 1808 nucleotides long. RefSeq lists it as uncharacterized. The transcript has 3 exons. Lineage: Eukaryota; Metazoa; Chordata; Actinopteri; Salmoniformes; Salmonidae. The record is from RefSeq and is a predicted model, not a curated record.
AUACCAUAGUGAUAUAAUUCAAUUACAGGUCUUUGUCAUAUGGUAUGUCAUGUCCAGUUGAGUGGUGGAAAAUCCACUGCCGGGGUUUGUUCUCUCCGAACUAACUGUUGUGGAACAGAUGUGGGAAGUGUCUGGUGCAGAAAGUUCCUCCUACAGGUAACUCAUAACAGUUCCUUUCUUUCCAACCCGAUGUGCCCUCCAGUGGGUAGAACCUGAUCACGGUCUUCAGUAAAUCCAAGUUCUCCUGUAAGUAAAGGGAAGAUAUUGACAACGUGUUCCUUGUUCUUCUCGGCAAUGUCAGUGACACCGAUGGCGGACACGGACUGUAAUCACGCAAGGAGCACAAGUUCCACCCGUGAGCAUUUGGCAGUCCAGGUUUCACCACCAACAUCAUUCUCUCGUCGGGUUUCCCUAUAGAACAGCGGCUGCUUUGGAGCACGGCUUUUUUUAUCCUCAGAAAACGUACUCUCAGGUAAAAAAAAAUUCAAUGGCUGCCCAAUUUCUGGAAGAUCGUACAUCUACCAUCUCUGAUUUGCACCAGACUGCUGCUCACGGACAGAAGAGAUGGACUUCAACCAUCAAUAGCCCGUAUCCUAUCAAGCGUCUUUGGAGGGAAGGUGGUAUCACAUCACCAAGGAGCAGCUUGAGGUGCUCAGUUUGUCAUAUGACCGUCAGACAAAUGGCAGAUGCUCUCAAUGUGUCGCACUCUGUGGUCAAGAAUAAAGCAAUUGUAACACAAGAGGGAGAUCUCUACAUCCUCUCUAGAUUUGACCACAUUACUGAUUGAUGUAUCUUUUUUUGUGUUGAGUCAUUUUCAGCUUUUCAGGUCCUACUCACUGUUGUCAGACGCUCAGCUGGAUGAGAGGAUCAAAGGGCUGAUAUCAAUAAAAACAGAAUGGCGUCCCUAUAAGAGACCCCAAAAAAGUUUUUGUAAAACAAACAUAUCUUGUUUUUUAGGUGGAGGAUUGUUAUCCAUGGUGCUGUGGAUGGUUACAUCAGACUUGUUGGGUUUCUGAAGGCCUCUGACAACAACAGGAGUGCCACAGUCGUGGAUGUCAUUCGAAGCAGCCAUCACCAGCUACGGAGUACCAUCCCGGGUGAGAUGUGACCCGGGUGGUGAAAACAACCGUAUCUGUGCCUUCAUGGAGCAAUUCAGGGGUGGUGAGAGGGGAAGUGCCCUCAGAGGAAGGAGCACACAACCAGAGGAUAGAGUGGCUGUGGGGGGGACGUCUGGCAUGGAGUCUCCAACGUUUACCAUGACCUGUUCACCUUCUUGGAGACGGAGCAGAUCAUCGACAUCAACAAUGGGGUGGACCUGUGGGCACUGCACUUUGUGUUCCUGCCACGGAUGAACAGAGAUAUUGCUGUGUUUGCCAGUCAGGGGACCCACCAUGGGCUGAGGACUGAACAACGGCAGUCACCUCUGCAGUUGUUCGUCUCGGGCUCCCUGGCAAUGCAGAGGGCCAAUCUCACAGCUGUAAGGGAUUUGUUCGCCCCAAAUUCAACCACCAUCAGCUCUCAAGCCACCACCUCAGCUCCUCCUCCAACAACCAUCACCUCAGCUCCUCCUCCAACAACCAUCACCUCAGCUCCUCCUCCAACAACCACCACCUCAGCUCCUCCUCCAACAACCACCACCUCAGCUCCUCCUCCAACAACCACCACCUCAGCUCCUCCUCCAACAACCACCACCUCAGCUCCUCCUCCAACCACCACCUCAGCUCCUCCUCCAACAACCAUCACCUCAGCUCCUCCUCCAACAACCAUCACCUCAGCUCCUCCUCCAACAACCAUCACCUCAGCUCCUC